This 253-nucleotide ribosomal RNA is filed under the name uncultured bacterium. Its description in RNAcentral is "partial 16S ribosomal RNA". It matches the Rfam family "Bacterial small subunit ribosomal RNA", at positions 524 to 776 of the family's 1533-position model. The record is from RNAcentral.
UACAGAGGGGGCAAGCGUUGUUCGGAAUUACUGGGCGUAAAGGGCGCGUAGGCGGCCUGCUAAGUCGAACGUGAAAUCCCCGGGCUCAACCCGGGAACUGCGUCCGAUACUGGUUGGCUCGAAUCCGGGAGAGGGAUGCGGAAUUCCAGGUGUAGCGGUGAAAUGCGUAGAUAUCUGGAGGAACACCGGUGGCGAAGGCGGCAUCCUGGACCGGCAUUGACGCUGAGGCGCGAAAGCCAGGGGAGCUAACGGG